AACGCUAGCUACAGGCUUAACACAUGCAAGUCGAGGGGCAGCAUGAACUUAGCUUGCUAAGUUUGAUGGCGACCGGCGCACGGGUGAGUAACGCGUAUCCAACCUUCCGUACACUCAGGAAUAGCCUUUCGAAAGAAAGAUUAAUACCUGAUGGUAUGAUGAGAUUGCAUGAAAUCAUCAUUAAAGAUUCAUCGGUGUACGAUGGGGAUGCGUUCCAUUAGAUAGUAGGCGGGGUAACGGCCCACCUAGUCGACGAUGGAUAGGGGUUCUGAGAGGAAGGUCCCCCACAUUGGAACUGAGACACGGUCCAAACUCCUACGGGAGGCAGCAGUGAGGAAUAUUGGUCAAUGGGCGAGAGCCUGAACCAGCCAAGUCGCGUGAAGGAAGAAGGAUCUAUGGUUCGUAAACUUCUUUUGCAGGGGAAUAAAGUGCAGGACGUGUCCUGUUUUGUAUGUACCCUGAGAAUAAGGAUCGGCUAACUCCGUGCCAGCAGCCGCGGUAAUACGGAGGAUCCGAGCGUUAUCCGGAUUUAUUGGGUUUAAAGGGUGCGUAGGUGGUUUGAUAAGUCAGCGGUGAAAGUUUGCAGCUUAACUGUAAAAAUGCCGUUGAAACUGUCGGACUUGAGUGUAAAUGAGGUAGGCGGAAUGCGUGGUGUAGCGGUGAAAUGCUUAGAUAUCACGAAGAACUCCGAUUG
Molecule: ribosomal RNA, 694 nt
Filed under: uncultured bacterium
Lineage: Bacteria
Description: bacterial SSU rRNA
Rfam family: Bacterial small subunit ribosomal RNA
Source: RNAcentral